AGUGAACGCUGGCGGUAGGCCUAACACAUGCAAGUCGAACGGCAGCACAGUAAGAGCUUGCUCUUACGGGUGGCGAGUGGCGGACGGGUGAGGAAUACAUCGGAAUCUACUUUUUCGUGGGGGAUAACGUAGGGAAACUUACGCUAAUACCGCAAACGACCUACGGGUAAAAGCAGGGGAUCUUCGGACCUUGCGCGAUUGAAUGAGCCGAUGUCGGAUUAGCUAGUUGGCGGGGUAAAGGCCCACCAAGGCGACUAUCCGUAGCUGGUCUGAGAGGAUGAUGAGCCACACUGGAACUGAGACACGGUCCAGACUCCUACGGGAGGCAGCAGUGGGGAAUAUUGGACAAUGGGCGAAAGCCUGAUCCAGCCAUACCGCGUGGGUGAAGAAGGCCUUCGGGUUGUAAAGCCCUUUUGUUGGGAAAGAAAAGCAGCAGGUUAAUACCCCGCUGUUCUGACGGUACCCAAAGAAUAAGCACCGGCUAACUUCGUG
This 492-nucleotide ribosomal RNA is filed under the name uncultured bacterium. Its description in RNAcentral is "partial 16S ribosomal RNA". It matches the Rfam family "Bacterial small subunit ribosomal RNA", at positions 29 to 507 of the family's 1533-position model. The record is from RNAcentral.